GAUGAACGCUGGCGGCACGCUUAACACAUGCAAGUCGAACGAAGUCGAUGGAGCUUGCUCCGGUUGAUUUAGUGGCGAACAGGUGCGUAACACGUGAGGAAUCUGUCCCGGACUCUGGGAUAACAGUUGGAAACGGCUGCUAAUACCGGAUGUCUUCAUUUGGCCGCAUGGUUGUUUGAAGAAAGAUUUAUCGGUUUGGGAGGAUCUCGCGGCCUAUCAGCUUGUUGGAGAGGUAAUGGCACACCAAGGCUUCGACGGGUAGCUGGUCUGAGAGGAUGAUCAGCCACACUGGAACUGAGACACGGUCCAG
Molecule: ribosomal RNA, 310 nt
Filed under: uncultured bacterium
Lineage: Bacteria
Description: bacterial SSU rRNA
Rfam family: Bacterial small subunit ribosomal RNA
Source: RNAcentral